RNAcentral lists this transfer RNA (64 nucleotides) under Mytilus californianus (California mussel). RNAcentral's name for it is "tRNA-Phe". Lineage: Eukaryota; Metazoa; Mollusca; Bivalvia; Mytilida; Mytilidae. The record is from RNAcentral.
GUAAUUGUAGCUUAAUAAAAGCAUUUUAUUGAAAAUAAAAAAGAUAGGCGUAUGCCUUGGUACC